RNAcentral lists this ribosomal RNA (253 nucleotides) under uncultured bacterium. Its description in RNAcentral is "partial 16S ribosomal RNA". It matches the Rfam family "Bacterial small subunit ribosomal RNA", at positions 524 to 776 of the family's 1533-position model. The record is from RNAcentral.
GACGUAGGGCGCGAGCGUUGUCCGGAUUUAUUGGGCGUAAAGAGCUCGUAGGCGGCUUGUCGCGUCGACCGUGAAAACUUGGGGCUCAACCCCAAGCCUGCGGUCGAUACGGGCAGGCUCGAGUUCGGUAGGGGAGACUGGAAUUCCUGGUGUAGCGGUGAAAUGCGCAGAUAUCAGGAGGAACACCGAUGGCGAAGGCAGGUCUCUGGGCCGAUACUGACGCUGAGGAGCGAAAGCCAGGGGAGCAAACGGG